CGAAAAGAAAAAAAAUCUCCCGUACCUUAUCCGGCUUCCCCUCCCCCCGUCGCGCACUUUCCCUCGCAACCACCCCCGAUCCCACCCGCAACCCCCCGACCAACUGCCCCCGGCUCCGGCGCACCUGCCGGCCCCGCCUCCUUCCGGCUCACCGCCGCCCCAGCCUCCUCUGGGCGCGGGGCCGUCCACGCCCCAGCCUCCUUCCGGUGGCACGAGGCCACCGCCGCCCCCGCCUCCUCCUGGCCCGCCGGCGACCCUGCCUCUUCCUGCCGAGGCCGCCUCCUCCUCCAGGCACGUCGCGCCCGUGCCUCCUUCCGGCGCGAGGCCGCCGCCUCUUCCAGGCACGCCGGUGCCCCUGCCUCCUUCCGACUCAAGGGCACUUCCGCCACAAGGAAGUAACCCUCCUUCAUCCACCGCCCGAUGUGUCGCCGCCCCCAAUGAUCCACUCCCUUCCUCUGGCUCCUGGUCGAUGAUCAUGGCCCAUCCUGCUGCUUGCCUCCUUCCUCGCGUAUGCAUAAAAAAAUAGGUGAGUCGCUGCAGUCCAAGUCGCGCCAUAGCAGCAGGGCGACUCUUCUAGGAUGCAUCUCACGCUCAACCGGCUCCAAUUUUGCGCGCAUGGGGUUGGUGCUGCUCCAGCGAGCUCCUCCAUCCCCAGCUUGUCCCUGAAUGCAGACACUGCACCGCGCAGGCUCCUACCCACCGUUCCUCCUCUCUGCUUCUUCACUCUUCACUUCUCUAGAUUUUGGUUGAAUUUCACCCUGCAUCCCCGACGUAGCGCUUCUCUGGCUCCUCCCCCGCUUGCUGCCAGGUCCGUCUCUCCUUCCUCCCCUGCUUGCCGUCAUGUGCGGCGUUGGACGUGGCUACUUGAUGGAGUGAAGCUGGCCUCCGAGCACCGUCAGUUGCACUGCACCCUACAAAAAAAGAACAGCCGCAAGUUCAGAAUCAGAAAAAUUAGAAGUUCAAGAAGAACAAAGGCACUGCCUUCACUCGUGUGCUUGCAAACUGCUAGGUUGUAGCUCGUAUGUUGUUUGCAACUAUCUUCAAUUUCUUCAGUAGCUGGUACACACUUUGCCAAAAUCUAGUACUUUCAGAAUGGUAAAGUUGAUAGUUGGCCUACAGGGACAACCAUGUUGAUGGCGAUUGAAAAAGGAUUCUGAAAUAAUAUUAUUGAGACUGAAGACCAAGUUUGAUAAUGCAGACCAAGUUUGAUAAUGCACGAUGUCAGAGGAUUCCAGGGCUUUCUCUGAGGUGGUUGAUGGCUUCCGAGAAAUGCGUUCAUAUCUCACAAGUUUCAGGGGUUCAAGUUCAUCUAUAUAAGAAGGAAUUCCAAUUUUGUUGCACAUCUGUGUGUGGAAGAGGCGCUGAAACUUGAUGUGCUUACUAUUUCUUUUCUUGUAACACCUAGGUACAUCACAUGGUUUCAAUCACAGUUAUUUUUCACUGCCAUGGCCCGACACCUCCUCCAUCUCGGUGCCACCGUCAUGACCUAGCCUACAUUUGCUGGUUGCUUCUAGCUGAUGUUGUUGCGUCCUGCCUCGCCGUCUAACUGAUGUUAGUGCGCCGCUGCUGCAGUUCAGCUAGAGUGGGAGAAAGAUCUCUUUGAGAGUUUAGCUGCUGUUGCUGUCUUUAAUUUUUGUUUUUGAACUUGUUGGUUAAAGAUAAUGAUGUUGCUUUCUACAUAUGGCCUUCCUGUGGAUGUAUCAUUCUCCAUCCGCUUGGAAGCUUCAACAUUCUGAAUGAUCAUAACAAAAUAAAAUACAAUCUUAGUGUGCUU
Molecule: long non-coding RNA, 1774 nt
Organism: Triticum urartu
Lineage: Eukaryota; Viridiplantae; Streptophyta; Magnoliopsida; Poales; Poaceae
Source: RefSeq, a predicted model, not a curated record